RNAcentral lists this ribosomal RNA (495 nucleotides) under uncultured bacterium. RNAcentral's name for it is "partial 16S ribosomal RNA". It matches the Rfam family "Bacterial small subunit ribosomal RNA", at positions 28 to 507 of the family's 1533-position model. The record is from RNAcentral.
GAUGAACGCUGGCGGCGUGCCUAAUACAUGCAAGUAGAACGCUGAAGGAGGACCUUGCUCUUCUGGUUGAGUUGCGAACGGGUGAGUAACGCGUAGGUAACCUGCCUGUUAGCGUGGGAUAACUACUGGAAACUAUAGCUAAUACCGCAUGACAACAGCUACUGCAUGAUAACUGUUUAAAAGUGGCAACUGCUCCACUACCAGAUGCACCUGCGGUGUAUUAGCUAGUUGGUGAGGUAACGGCUCACCAAGGCGAGGAUACAUAGCCGAACUGAGAGGGGGAGCGGCCGCACUGGGACUGAGACACGGCCCAGACGCAUACGGGAGGCAGCAGUAGGGAAACGGGAGGAAGGGACGGAAGUCUGAGCGAGAAAGGCGGCGGGAGUGAGGAAGGAUGUCGGAUGGUGAAGGUCUGUUGUAAGAGUAGAACGAGUGUGAGAGUGGAAAGAACACAGUGUGACGGUAUCGUAUCAGAAAGGAACGGCUAACUACGUG